ACGCAUUUAAGGAGUGGUUCUCGAAGUAUGUUCCCUGGACCAGCGGUAUCAACAUCACCUGGGAAGAUGUAGAAGCACAAAUUCUCCUGCCUACUCCAGACCUACGGAAUUAGAAACUCUGGGGCUGGAGCUCAGUAAUCUGUGAUUUACCAGUCCUCCAGGUGAUUCUGAAACAUGCUCUCGUGUGAGGACCACUGCUGUAAAGGCAAGUCUGUCCACUUGUAAAACCCUGUGAUUCUACCUUGCCUGAUAAUCUUCACCAACUCGAAACUGUAGUGAACUCCGUAUCCUCUCAUUGAGCAGACCUCUUGGCCUCAAAAGGAGAUGAAGAUGUGAGACCAUGCCAGGGAGCUGAAGACAAGGUUUUCCUGAAGGGGAAAGGAAGGUUUCAUUGUGAAGGAUUCCAGAAAGAUCUCUCUCUCUCUCACUCUGGAGAAGGAGGAGGAGGAAGAAAAUGUUCUGGAGUCUGGAAGUCCAAGAUGAAGGUGCCUGCAGAUUCGGUGUCUGUUGAGAACUUUCUUCCUGGUUUGUGGACGGCAGUCUUCUUGCUGCAUCCUCACAUGAUGGAGAGAGAGAGAGGGCUAUGACAGAAGAGAUGGAAGCAGAGGGAACACCCACAGCACAGGAUCAGUCAUCAGCAGUGCUCAGAACAAGGCCUCGGACUCUUCUCUCAAUUCAACUCUUCCAGCAACUCUCCUGUUUUCCCAUCUUGCUUGGAAGAGCGCAGACCAACGGGUAACACAGAUGAAAGCAAUGUUACCAUAAUACUCAGUAUUUAGAAUAAUACCUUUAUUCCAGGGUGCUCUGCAGACAUUACCUCAUUAAUCUUCAUAACAUCUUUAAGAAAGGAGGAGGGAAUAGUUUCUGCCCUCAUUUAAUGGAUGGCAUAGCAAUGGCUUAAGGCCAGGACAUGAUUCAGUGUCAUGGCUGAAACAAAGCCACAUUCCCCAAACCCUCAGGUCGGGGCACCAUCAGCCGCUUCAGGAGUAAGCGUAGCUCUUUGGGGUAGCCAACAGGGAAGGGAUACGACUCCAACACUGGCAGAUGUGGAAGGAGACCAGAUGAAUAAGAUGCUACUCACUGUUACCAAAAGCAUCAAAAGACACUACUCAUUUGUUAUUAUAACAAAUAUUUGUUGAGGACCUGCUAGGAGCACUUUGCUGUUGGAAGGAGCAAGAAAAGGAAAAUGGGGGAAAGCAUGGAAGAAUGACCCAUAAGUCAGACAGGAACACUCCACUCAGAAAGUUUACAUUCGUUCAUUCAUCAGUCAUUCAACAAGCGGAAGCCUCUCAGAUGCCAUUCAAGGUGUGGGGGAUACAAAUAGAUACCAGACCUUGCCUUCAAGAGGAUUAGUCUAUUAGGCUAACCAAAUUUUUAAAACUUGGAGCAUAGAGCAAUACAUGUUGAAGAAAAUUUAUGCUCAUAUUGUUACGGAAGUGCAAAAGAAGAACGUUCAAGUCAGCUUAAGUGAAUCAGGGAAGGUUUCUCAAGGUAUUCGUGGCCUGUGCUAAGACUUGCAAGAUGAGUGAAGUUUAAUUAGGGGAAGGGUAUGCUAAGUAGAGGGAUGAGCUCCCAAGGAAUUGCUGUGUGAAACUCCGAAGUCAUUUGUCUUAACUUGGGGAGGAGUCUCUGCUGGUGGAGGCCCGGGUUGCAGAUGGGAGGACGAGCCCCUAAGAAAAAGAAAACGGCAACGUCAGAGCACGAGGAGCUCAUGCAGCAAGUUCAGGAGUUUAGACUUUACCACAACGGCUUGGGGGACCUACAAGGAUUAUGAGGCCAUUUAGUAGGAUU
Long non-coding RNA from Equus caballus (horse), 1791 nucleotides. The record is from Ensembl. Lineage: Eukaryota; Metazoa; Chordata; Mammalia; Perissodactyla; Equidae.